GGAGCAUAGCUGGGUAGCUACGUAUGGAAGGGAUAAGUGCUGAAAGCAUCUAAGCAUGAAGCCCCCCUCAAGAUGAGAUUUCCCUUGGAGUUAAUCCAGUAAGACCCCUUAGAGAUGAUGAGGUUGAUAGGUCUCGGGUGGAAGCACGGUGACGUGUGGAGCUGAGAGAUACUAAUCGGUCGAGGACUUAUCCUAAA
Molecule: ribosomal RNA, 197 nt
Filed under: Anaerobacillus alkalidiazotrophicus
Lineage: Bacteria; Bacillati; Bacillota; Bacilli; Caryophanales; Bacillaceae
Description: partial 23S ribosomal RNA
Rfam family: Bacterial large subunit ribosomal RNA
Source: RNAcentral